This 110-nucleotide ribosomal RNA is filed under the name Pteropus alecto (black flying fox). Lineage: Eukaryota; Metazoa; Chordata; Mammalia; Chiroptera; Pteropodidae. The record is from RNAcentral.
GUCUAUAGCCAUGCCACCCUGAAGGUGCCCAAUCCCAUUUGAUCUCAGAAGCUAAGCAGGGUCAGGCCUGGUUAGUACUUGGAUGGGAAGAAUAUCAGGUGCUAUAGGAG